GACGAACGCUGGCGGCGUGCCUAAUACAUGCAAGUUGAGCGCUGAAGGUUGGUACUUGUACCAACUGGAUGAGCAGCGAACGGGUGAGUAACGCGUGGGGAAUCUGCCUUUGAGCGGGGGACAACAUUUGGAAACGAAUGCUAAUACCGCAUAAAAACUUUAAACACAAGUUUUAAGUUUGAAAGAUGCAAUUGCAUCACUCAAAGAUGAUCCCGCGUUGUAUUAGCUAGUUGGUGAGGUAAAGGCUCACCAAGGCGAUGAUACAUAGCCGACCUGAGAGGGGGAUCGGCCACAUUGGGACUGAGACACGGCCCAAACUCCUACGGGAGGCAGCAGUAGGGAAUCUUCGGCAAUGGACGAAAGUCUGACCGAGCAACGCCGCGUGAGUGAAGAAGGGUUUCGGAUCGUAAAACUCUGUUGGUAGAGAAGAACGUUGGUGAGAGUGGAAAGCCCAUCAAGUGACGGUAACUACCCAGAAAGGGACGGCUAACUACGUG
This 497-nucleotide ribosomal RNA is filed under the name uncultured bacterium. RNAcentral describes it as "partial 16S ribosomal RNA". It matches the Rfam family "Bacterial small subunit ribosomal RNA", at positions 28 to 507 of the family's 1533-position model. The record is from RNAcentral.